RNAcentral lists this transfer RNA (72 nucleotides) under Sebastes alutus (Pacific ocean perch). Its description in RNAcentral is "tRNA-Ile". It matches the Rfam family "tRNA". Rfam says of the family: Transfer RNA (tRNA) molecules are approximately 80 nucleotides in length. Their secondary structure includes four short double-helical elements and three loops (D, anti-codon, and T loops). Further hydrogen bonds mediate the characteristic L-shaped molecular structure. tRNAs have two regions of fundamental functional importance: the anti-codon, which is responsible for specific mRNA codon recognition, and the 3' end, to which the tRNAs corresponding amino acid is attached (by aminoacyl-tRNA synthetases). tRNAs cope with the degeneracy of the genetic code in two manners: having more than one tRNA (with a specific anti-codon) for a particular amino acid; and 'wobble' base-pairing, i.e. permitting non-standard base-pairing at the 3rd anti-codon position. Lineage: Eukaryota; Metazoa; Chordata; Actinopteri; Perciformes; Sebastidae. RNAcentral also lists the same sequence under 44 other names. The record is from RNAcentral.
AGAAGCCGUGCCUGAAGUAAAGGGCCACUUUGAUAGAGUGACUUAUGGGGGUUCAAAUCCCCCCCGCUUCUU